CAACUUUUCAAAGCUCUAGCGAAAGCAACGUGACUCAAUCGUUUCGUCGCGAGCGUGAUAAGAGCGAAAGCGUAGCGUAGCACAGAUCGCCUGUUGCUGACCUCGUAACGUGAAGUUCAACUUUUUAGUGAUUACGGUGGAACUAUGUCAGCUUUCAGAGUUUAACAUCAUCGCUAUGAAUUGUUUUAGUGUGCGUGCUGUCGAACUCCGAAAUUUCGGUGAACAGUUCAGUGAUUCAAGUGCUGCAGAAAUUCUUCGUGUGGGAUAAUUACUAUCAAUGGCUCGCUGAUUUUCUCGUUCAGCUACUCCCUGAUGGAAAAUGUUGCUAUCUUACGAGCGGUACCUGAUUUCCGCGUGCCUUCUACGGAUUGUUCUUCCAGCUUGCCUUUUGAUAUGUGUAUGCCUGAAACAGAACGCAUUAUGCACUGUUUACCUGCUCAUUCUUCUAGUCAUACCUUUUAUACCGGUCCCCACUCAUGUUUCCAUGAGAAGUAAGUUUUGAACAGAACUAAUACUCGCAUGCUAAAAACCUCGCUAAUUUUUCCUCGAAUGUGGGGAAAACUCGGGAAACGGUUUCUGG
RNAcentral lists this long non-coding RNA (580 nucleotides) under Bemisia tabaci. Its description in RNAcentral is "lncRNA ENSSSA2NGG013827". The record is from RNAcentral. Lineage: Eukaryota; Metazoa; Arthropoda; Insecta; Hemiptera; Aleyrodidae.